AGCGAACGCUGGCGGCAGGCUUAACACAUGCAAGUCGAGCGGGCCCUUCGGGGUCAGCGGCAGACGGGUGAGUAACGCGUGGGAACGUGCCCUUCGGUUCGGAAUAACUCAGGGAAACUUGAGCUAAUACCGGAUACGCCCUUAUGGGGAAUGGUUUACUGCCGAAGGAUCGGCCCGCGUCUGAUUAGCUAGUUGGUGAGGUUAUGGCUCACCAAGGCGACGAUCAGUAGCUGGUCUGAGAGGAUGAUCAGCCACACUGGGACUGAGACACGGCCCAGACUCCUACGGGAGGCAGCAGUGGGGAAUAUUGGACAAUGGGGGCAACCCUGAUCCAGCCAUGCCGCGUGAGUGAUGGCGGCCUUAGGGUUGUAAAGCUCUUUUCUCCGGGACGAUAAUGACGGUACCGGAGGAAUAAGCCCCGGCUAACUUCGUG
RNAcentral lists this ribosomal RNA (433 nucleotides) under uncultured bacterium. Its description in RNAcentral is "partial 16S ribosomal RNA". It matches the Rfam family "Bacterial small subunit ribosomal RNA", at positions 29 to 507 of the family's 1533-position model. The record is from RNAcentral.